RNAcentral lists this ribosomal RNA (284 nucleotides) under Faecalibacterium prausnitzii. RNAcentral's name for it is "partial 16S ribosomal RNA". It matches the Rfam family "Bacterial small subunit ribosomal RNA", at positions 492 to 776 of the family's 1533-position model. The record is from RNAcentral. Lineage: Bacteria; Bacillati; Bacillota; Clostridia; Eubacteriales; Oscillospiraceae.
UAUGGUAAUUGUGUGCCAGCCUCAGCUUUAAAACGUAGGUCACAAGCGUUGUCCGGAAUUACUGGGUGUAAAGGGAGCGCAGGCGGGAAGACAAGUUGGAAGUGAAAUCUAUGGGCUCAACCCAUAAACUGCUUUCAAAACUGUUUUUCUUGAGUAGUGCAGAGGUAGGCGGAAUUCCCGGUGUAGCGGUGGAAUGCGUAGAUAUCGGGAGGAACACCAGUGGCGAAGGCGGCCUACUGGGCACCAACUGACGCUGAGGCUCGAAAGUGUGGGUAGCAAACAGG